AGAACAUUUCAAAGAGAGCUUGUGGAACACAAACCAGGGGCUCCUAACACUGUGAGCAAAUAUUGAAGUUUUCCACAGGAUGUAAUUGUCACUCAAUAGUGCUAUAUUUUUUCUGGAAAGAUAAAA
This is a small nucleolar RNA of Phyllostomus hastatus (greater spear-nosed bat), 126 nucleotides long. RefSeq annotates it as small nucleolar RNA SNORA25. The transcript has a single exon. The record is from RefSeq and is a predicted model, not a curated record. NCBI's taxonomy places the organism in Eukaryota, Metazoa, Chordata, Mammalia, Chiroptera, Phyllostomidae.